This 468-nucleotide ribosomal RNA is filed under the name uncultured bacterium. RNAcentral describes it as "partial 16S ribosomal RNA". It matches the Rfam family "Bacterial small subunit ribosomal RNA", at positions 28 to 507 of the family's 1533-position model. The record is from RNAcentral.
GACGAACGCUGGCGGCGUGCUUAACACAUGCAAGUCGAACGGAAAGGCCCUGCUUUUGUGGGGUGCUCGAGUGGCUAACGGGUGAGUAACACGUGAGUAACCUGCCCUUGACUUUGGGAUAACUUCAGGAAACUGGGGCUAAUACCGGAUAGGAGCUCCUGCUUCAUGGUGGGGGUUGGUAUGUUUCGGCGGUUGGGGAUGGACUCGCGGCUUAUCAGCUUGUUGGUGGGGUAGUGGCUUACCAAGGCUUUGACGGGUAGCCGGCCUGAGAGGGUGACCGGCCACAUUGGGACUGAGAUACGGCCCAGACUCCUACGGGAGGCAGCAGUGGGGAAUAUUGCACAAUGGGCGGAAGCCUGAUGCAGCAACGCCGCGUGCGGGAUGACGGCCUUCGGGUUGUAAACCGCUUUCGCCUGUGACGAAGCGUGAGUGACGGUAAUGGGUAAAGAAGCACCGGCUAACUACGUG